GGGCCUAAAGCAUCCGUCAACCGGCUCUGUAAGUUUUCGGUUAAAUCUAUACGCUCAACGUAUAGGCUGCCGGGAAUACUGCAAAGCUAGGGAGUGGGAGAGGUAGACGGUACUCGGUAGGAAGGGGUAAAAUCCUUUGAUCUAUUGAUGACCACCUGUGGCGAAGCGGUCUACUAKAACACGUCCGACGGUGAGGGAUGAUAAGAGGUGGGAGCAAACCGGAUUAGAUACCCGGGUAGUCCCAGACUGUAAACAAUGCAAACUCAGUGAUGCACUGGCUUGUGGCCAGUGCAGUGCCGCAGGGAAGCCG
This 310-nucleotide ribosomal RNA is filed under the name uncultured crenarchaeote. RNAcentral's name for it is "bacterial SSU rRNA". It matches the Rfam family "Archaeal small subunit ribosomal RNA", at positions 506 to 814 of the family's 1478-position model. Lineage: Archaea; Thermoproteati; Thermoproteota. The record is from RNAcentral.